AUUGAACGCUGGCGGCAGGCCUAACACAUGCAAGUCGAGCGGGGUUUUCGGACCUAGCGGCGGACGGGUGAGUAAUGCGUAGGAAGCUACCCGAUAGAGGGGGAUACCAGUUGGAAACGACUGUUAAUACCGCAUAAUGUCUACGGACCAAAGUGUGGGACCUUCGGGCCACAUGCUAUCGGAUGCGCCUACGUGGGAUUAGCUAGUUGGUGGGGUAAUGGCUCACCAAGGCGACGAUCCCUAGCUGGUUUGAGAGGAUGAUCAGCCACACUGGAACUGAGACACGGUCCAGACUCCUACGGGAGGCAGCAGUGGGGAAUAUUGGGACAAUGGGCGGCAAGCCUGAUCCAGCCAUGCCGCGUGUGUGAAGAA
RNAcentral lists this ribosomal RNA (372 nucleotides) under uncultured bacterium. Its description in RNAcentral is "bacterial SSU rRNA". It matches the Rfam family "Bacterial small subunit ribosomal RNA", at positions 30 to 412 of the family's 1533-position model. The record is from RNAcentral.